CCGCGAGUAUGGGAAAAAGAAAAUGCGAGUACAAUACACCAAUUUGGAGCCCUAAUUGUUAAUUUUUAGGUAAAAACUGUACUCUCCAUACUCGCCCCCAAUUUUCAGUAGCUGUGAUCAUCACAAUUCUCUACUGGCACUGCACAAAAUUGAGUACUUGGAUUGGGGGAACACAUUUUACCUCAAUGGUUAUGGACCUUGUGCCGCCAUCAGGCGAUCAUCACGAGAAAGAAGACUGUGGGCGGCGUACUUGUGUAAGGAUUGAAAGUGCAAGAGGAAAACUUUGUGGUACAGAUGGAGCUACUGUCACUGCUUCAAAGAGUGUUUGCCUGGGAAUAGAGAAUGCAGGAACUAGCUGGAACGAAAGAACAUCUAAUGGCGCAAAUGUACUGCCAAAUACAGAUUCUUUGGCUGUGAAUUGCUAUAGGAACUUGGAGCCUCAUGAUGGGAUGGAAUUUGACUCGAAAGAGAAUGCCUUUUCACAUUACAAAGAAUAUGCUAAGUCCAUUGGAUUUUCCUCAAUAAUAAAGGCUAGCCGUCGAUCCAGAAUUUCUGGAAAAUUUAUUGAUGCAAAAUUUGUUUGCAGUAGAUAUGGAAGUAAGCGUGAACCUUCUACUUCUGGCGCAGAACCUGUUCCAAGUACUGAUGCAGCAGGAAGUAAUCCUGUGAAAAGAAAAAAAGGCAGAAUAAACAGGUCUUGGUCAAAAACAGAUUGUAAGGCUUGCUUGCAUGUAAAGAGAAGGUCUGAUGGAAGGUGGGUUAUUCAUACUUUUGUCAAAGAGCAUAACCAUGAAAUAUUUCCGGAUUGGACCAGAUAUCCUCCAGGUCACAGGAACAUUGAUCUGGGUAAAAAUGAUGCAGAUGCAUUUCAUGCUAUCCGUGGGAGGACGGAAAAGACUUAUGCCUCGACAUCUAGGCAUUCUGGUUUUAUGAAGAAAGUUGAGAAGCAAAAGAAUGGUGGCACAAAUAGUAGUCCUCAAUCUUUGGCUUUAGAUGAGGGAGAUGCACAAGUUAUUCUUGAGUAUUUUCUUUGCAUGCAAGAUGAAAAUCCAAACUUCUUUUAUGCAUUGGAUUUGAAUCAAGAGAAACGCUUGAGAAAUGUCUUUUGGAUUGACGCUAAAUGUAGGCUUGACUGUGGUAACUUCAGUGACGUAGUUCUUUUUGACACUACCUAUAUAACAGACGAAUAUAAGCUGCAGUUUGUUCCUUUUAUUGGCGUCAAUCAUCAUUUUCAGUCCAUAUUGCUGGGAUGUGGGCUGAUUGCAGAUGAGAGUAAGUCAACUUUUAUUUGGUUGAUGCGAGCAUGGCUCAGGGCAUUGGGUGGACAAGUUCCAAAAGUAAUUCUAACUGAUCAAGGCAAAACACUGGAAGAAGUUAUUGCUGAGGUUUUACCAGAUUCACGCCAUUGCUUUUGUUUGUGGCAUGUACUGAGUAAGAUCCAGGAGAAGCUUGGUCAUGUCAUAAGGCAGCAUGAAAGUUUUCUCUCCAAAUUCAAUAAAUGUAUUUUGAGGUCAGCAACCAAUGAAUUGUUUGAAAAGAGGUGGUGGAAGGUGGUUGCUAGAUUUGAUCUGAGGAAUGACUUGUGGAUUAAAUCAUUGUAUGAAGAUCGGCUAAGGUGGGUACCGACAUACAUGAAUAAAAUCUUCUUGGCAGGAAUGUCUACGAUGCAACGAGUAGAAAGCGUUAGUGCUCUUCUUGAUAAAUGCAUAUUAUGCAAGACGACAUUAAAGGAGUUUCUUGACCAGUAUAAAAAACUGCUGCAAGAGAAGUGUCAAGGAGAGGCAAAUGCUGAUUUUGAGACGAGACAUAAACAACCAGGACUGAAAUCUCCCUCCCCUUUUGAAAAGCAGAUGUCAACUUUAUACACUCAUACGACAUUCAAGAAAUUCCAAGUUGAGGUUUUAGGAGUGGUUGCUUGCCACCCGAAAAAGGAAAACGACGAUGGUGAAAAUGGCACAUAUAGAGUCCAAGAUUUUGAAGUAAAUCAAGAAUUCAUUGUCGUAUGGAAUGAGAGGACAUCUGAUACUUCAUGUUCUUGUCAUUUGUUCGAGUACAAUGGAUUCCUUUGUAGACAUGUGAUGAUAGUUCUUCAGAUGGCUGGUGUGCAUACCAUCCCCUCUAAAUAUGUUUUAAGACGCUGGACUAAAGGUGCAAAGAGUAGAGAGAAGACGAGACAAGUAGCUUUGGUUGAUUCCAGAGUUCAACGCUACAAUGAUCUAUGUCAAAGGGCAUUUGAGCUAGGUGAUGAAGGGUCGUUAUCUCAAGAGAGUUAUAACAUUUUAUCUAGUGUUCUGGAAAAUUUUCUGAGAACACGUGAGACCGUGAAUGAUGCAAAUUUAAAUGAAUCAGAACCUUGUUCUCUCCCAAAUCAAGGUCUUAAUGACCUUGAAGUAUUCACAGAUAGAAACAAUUCAAGUAAGAGUAAUGGAAAGAACAUAGCAAGAAAAGAGAAGGAAGGACAAAUAGAUUUCGGAGAAUCAACUGUGGAUUAUCCUUUCGGAUCACAUUCAGCCAUACAGCCAAUGGGACAAUUGAAUACAAAUAUCCAAGGCUAUGCCAACCAUUUAAACAUGCUGGGGCUGGGACAAUUGAGUACACUUGUUUCAAUUGAAGAUGGCCCUUAUCUCUCUCAACCUAGAUUGCAUGGACUGAGAAGAGCACAGCUUUGUUCGGGUUGGUCUUGGUCUUGGGACAAGUGUAUUUUAGGCCUGCAGAUGCUCAAAGUUCUUUUGGGGUUCAGGACAGUCUCCAAGAGUCUACUAUGGCCAAUACGGAGAAUUUGUGCUCAAAGAAUUUAUCUUGACAAUAGCUCACGCUGCAGUUCCUUGGCCAACUUUACCAUCUCGUAGUUUGUACAUAUAUGAGACCAUUGCCUUGUGCACAGAACUUCAACAGCAUGGAAUGACGUUGUUGAAGAAGUGUGUCAAAGCGGAGUGAGCGUUAUUGGAGAGCCAGGAAGGGCAUAAGGGACAGAUUGCAGUGGAGUGGAGUGGAGUGCUGUAACAAGUAUGGAAUCUCGCUUGUUUUGACCAAUGUGAGACACUUCAGGCAUUAAAUAAUCGUAACACAGGUUGUUGUACCUCAAAGAUUGGAAGAAGAUUCUUGAAGAUCGCGACAACUUUUAUCGAAAGGAAUGUAGUGAACAAAGUCGUCUAACUUAAGAUAGUCGUAGUAAAAAUAAAGGCAGCAUUCUCUUGUCUUUCAUUUUUCUUUUAUUCUGAGGUCCUAACAAUACAAAAAGAAAUUGUCUAAGAUACCACGUAAGAUAUUUCAACUAUUCUAUGUAUGAGAUGUAACAAGUUCAACUAGUUAUGAAAUUCAAAAGACAUUGUUUGAUCAA
RNA transcript from Solanum pennellii, 3340 nucleotides. It is a transcript of the gene named protein FAR-RED IMPAIRED RESPONSE 1, with no coding region annotated. Lineage: Eukaryota; Viridiplantae; Streptophyta; Magnoliopsida; Solanales; Solanaceae. The transcript has 10 exons. The record is from RefSeq and is a predicted model, not a curated record.